CCAGACUCCUACGGGAGGCAGCAGUGAGGAAUAUUGGUCAAUGGCCGUAAGGCUGAACCAGCCAAGUAGCGUGAGGGAAGACUGCCCUAUGGGUUGUAAACCUCUUUUAUGCGGGGAUAAAGGUGUCCACGUGUGGAUGUUUGCAGGUACCGCAUGAAUAAGGACCGGCUAAUUCCGUGCCAGCAGCCGCGGUAAUACGGAAGGUCCGGGCGUUAUCCGGAUUUAUUGGGUUUAAAGGGUGCGUAGGCGGUCCGUUAAGUCAGCGGUAAAAUUGCGGGGCUCAACCCCGUCGAGCCGUUGAAACUGGCAGACUUGAGUUGGCGAGAAGUACGCGGAAUGCGCGGUGUAGCGGUGAAAUGCAUAGAUAUCGCGCAGAACUCCGAUUGCGAAGGCAGCAUACCGGCGCCCAACUGACGCUGAAGCACGAAAGCGUGGGUAUCGAACAGGAUUAGAUACCCUUGUAU
Molecule: ribosomal RNA, 464 nt
Filed under: uncultured bacterium
Lineage: Bacteria
Description: bacterial SSU rRNA
Rfam family: Bacterial small subunit ribosomal RNA
Source: RNAcentral